GUGCUCGCUUCGGCAGCACAUAUACUGGAGUUGGGGUGAUACAGAGAGGAUUAGCAUGGCCCCUGCGCAAGGAUGACACGAAAAAAAAAAAAAGAAAAAUGUGAGGUU
Molecule: small nuclear RNA, 108 nt
Filed under: Dasypus novemcinctus (nine-banded armadillo)
Lineage: Eukaryota; Metazoa; Chordata; Mammalia; Cingulata; Dasypodidae
Source: RNAcentral